CUUGCCUUUUGUGAGUCUCCGGAGCUCCAGCAAGGCGAGUUCAGCUGGAAGCCCCAUUGCAGAGAGGUUCACACCAUGUCCACGCAUUUGAGAACAAGUAAGAUGGUGACAAAAAGCAGGUGAAAGAGGCCUGGAGAGCGAGAAAUGACAGCAGACCAGCACAGGAUCACCACCUGAGCUGAUGGAAAUACUGCUCCGAGGCUUGAUGUGGCGACAGGCUGUGCUUUAGAACAAGGAGACACACUUUGAAGGGAGACGGGAUGCAGGAAAAGGUCUCCAGGAGAGAAGCAGCCUGACGCCUGACGUCCUACGCACUGACCAGCUGUCUCAGCUCUGAGGCCUUUUCACACAGACUUCACUCAGAUAAACGUGCACGGCAGCCGUGGGCCUACAUGCACUCUUGCUCUGUUGCUGACCUGUGCAGCUGGAAAAACAUGAUCCACCCGGGUCUGACAGAACCCUCCUGACCAAGGCACGUCACGGGGGACAGGGUCUGAAAGAGAAGUGGGCUUUGAGGGGCUCUAAUAGCUGAAGGGAUGAAACGAGGCCUCUGAAAUCAGACCCACUGCCUUAGUCAGACCCAGAGUGACAGCA
Molecule: long non-coding RNA, 594 nt
Organism: Erinaceus europaeus (western European hedgehog)
Lineage: Eukaryota; Metazoa; Chordata; Mammalia; Eulipotyphla; Erinaceidae
Exons: 3
Source: RefSeq, a predicted model, not a curated record